This 87-nucleotide transfer RNA is filed under the name Gammaproteobacteria bacterium. RNAcentral describes it as "tRNA-Leu". It matches the Rfam family "tRNA". From Rfam's summary of the family: Transfer RNA (tRNA) molecules are approximately 80 nucleotides in length. Their secondary structure includes four short double-helical elements and three loops (D, anti-codon, and T loops). Lineage: Bacteria; Pseudomonadati; Pseudomonadota; Gammaproteobacteria. The record is from RNAcentral.
GCCCGGGUGGUGGAAUUGGUAGACACAAGGGACUUAAAAUCCCUCGCCAGCAAUGGCGUGCCGGUUCAAGUCCGGCCUCGGGUACCA